GAACGACCUGCGCAUCCUGGAGCAGGAGGAGGAAGAGGAGCGGCAGGAGAAGGCCGAGGCCGCCAAGAAGGACGAGCCCCGGCCCCCCGACGCCGACCGCAAAGCCCCCCCCGACGACAAGGAGGAGGGCAAGAAGGUUUGGGGGUGUCCCCCUUGGGGGGGCGGGGGGGAGCUCCGGGGGGGUCCCUUCUGUCCCAUAGGUUCUGCUUGGGGGUCCCCAGAACAUCGGUUGGGGUUACUUUGGCCCCAUAGGGUCAGUUUGGGUGGUCCCCAUGGGGAGUUUUGGGGUCACCUUGGCCCCAUAGCGUCAGUUUGGGGGUCCCCAUGGGGUUCCUUCACCCUCAUAGGGUCAGUUUGGGGGUCCCCAUGGGGACUUCUGGGGUCACCUUGGCCCCAUAGGGUCAGUUUGGGGGUCCCCGUUUCCAUAGGGUCAGUUUAGGGGUCCCCAUGGGGUUCUCUCAACCCCAUAGGGUUGGUUUUGGGGUCCCCUUGGCUCUAUAGGGUCGGUUUUAGCAUGCCCUCAGCCCCAUAGGGACAAUUUGGGGGUCCCCAUGGGAUCACCUUGGCCCCAUAGGGUCAGUUUAGGGGUCCCCUCGCCCCCAUAGGGGUCAGGUUGGGGGUCUGGGGGGUCACUUUUUGAGACCCCCCCCUCUCUCCCCCCCACCCCAAAGGCGGAAGCGGAGCAGCCGGGCGACGCCAAGGCCCCGAAGGCGCCGGGGGAGGAGGAAGAGGAGGAAGGGAAGGGGAGGAAGGAGGAGGACGGCGACAAGGAGGCCAAGAAGGUAAGCCCCGCCCCCUCUGCGCCAAGCCCCGCCCCCUCUGCGCCAAGCCCCUCCUCCUUCUGCGCCAAGCCCCACCUCAUCCGCACAGAGCCACGCCCCCUUUCAAGAGGCUCCACCCCCUUGCAACACCCCUCCUCCUAGCCCCGCCCCUUGCGAUAGGCCACGCCCCCUUCCUGUUAAGCCCCACCCCCCUCCUGCGAGGCCCCUCCCAUUUUUCUUU
This 1002-nucleotide long non-coding RNA is filed under the name Numida meleagris (helmeted guineafowl). RNAcentral describes it as "lncRNA (ENSNMEG00000000364.1)". Lineage: Eukaryota; Metazoa; Chordata; Aves; Galliformes; Numididae. The record is from RNAcentral.